RNAcentral lists this ribosomal RNA (395 nucleotides) under Mayetiola destructor (Hessian fly). Its description in RNAcentral is "partial 12S ribosomal RNA". The record is from RNAcentral. Lineage: Eukaryota; Metazoa; Arthropoda; Insecta; Diptera; Cecidomyiidae.
AAACUAGGAUUAGAUACCCUUUUAUUUAUUUUUAAAAUUUUUUAUUUAAUAAAUAUUUUUUAAUAAAAAAUUAAUUAAAAUGGCAGUAUAUUAUAAAAUUAGAGGAUUUUGUUAUAUAAUAGAUAUUACACUUUAAAAUUUAUUUAAUUUUUUUGUUAUAUAUUGUAUAUUGUUGUAUUAAACUGAUAUUUAAAAAUUAUUAGUAUUUUUUUUAAAAAAAAUAAAUUCAAAUCAACAUACAUGUCAUAAUUAAAAUUUAAAUGAAAUACAAUUAAAUCUAUUAAUGAAUAAUAAAUUGUAAAAUUUAUUUAAAAUUGGAUUUAAUAGUAAAAAUUUAAUAAAUUUUUUAUUUGAAUUAAAUUAAUAUAUGUACAUAUUGCCCGUCGUUUUUAAUU